UCGAAUCCUUUGGAUGUUGCUGGCCUUUCGGGGCAUGUGCACUCCAACCUUUUUCAAUACACCUGUGAACUUAUUGUAGGCGACAAGACUUUGUCGCCUAUGUUUUUACCACACACUCUUGAAAUGUAUAUCGAAUGUCUAAAUGUGGCCUUUGAUUGGUCUACAAAACAUUAAUA
RNAcentral lists this unclassified non-coding RNA (176 nucleotides) under uncultured Clavariaceae. RNAcentral describes it as "sequence contains ITS1". The record is from RNAcentral. Lineage: Eukaryota; Fungi; Basidiomycota; Agaricomycetes; Agaricales; Clavariaceae.